AUCGCUUCUCGGCCUAUCGGCUAAGGAUCAAGUAGAUAUAAUCUGUUCUUUCGAGUUUAAAUAGCUCGAAUGGGGAUAAUGCAUCCUCAAGCUAUUAACCCCAAUUUUUCUACUAGGAGUUGUGUGUGAAGCUUGCUUCCCUCACUCCACGGGUUGCCCUGUAUUGCAGUACAUCCAGGUGUUGCCCACUUCCC
Gigantopelta aegis is the source of this 194-nucleotide small nuclear RNA. RefSeq annotates it as U2 spliceosomal RNA. Lineage: Eukaryota; Metazoa; Mollusca; Gastropoda; Neomphalida; Peltospiridae. The record is from RefSeq and is a predicted model, not a curated record. The transcript has a single exon.